Molecule: unclassified non-coding RNA, 223 nt
Filed under: plant metagenome
Description: partial contains small subunit ribosomal RNA, internal transcribed spacer 1, and 5.8S ribosomal RNA
Source: RNAcentral
UCUCCGUUGGUGAACCAGCGGAGGGAUCAUUACCGUGUUAUCAACUCCCAAACCCCUGUGAACAUACCCAACGUUGCUUCGGCGGGACCGCCCCGGCGCCCUCGGCGUCCCGGAACCAGGCGCCCGCCGGAGGACCCAAACUCUUGUUUAAACCAUAGUGGCAUAUUCUGAGUCUCACAAGAAGAAUGAAUCAAAACUUUCAACAACGGAUCUCUUGGCUCUG